CCUGGACUACAGCUCUGCUCUGUGCAACUGAUUACUCUAUUGACAAAAUCAUAAAACGGAAAAGCUGAAGAAAUACAUAUAACACCAAAAUCUUGUCCCUAGCUCCAAGAAACAGAUGCAUGACGCAAAGCUAUAUAAAUAUCAUCUCAGUCUCACAGGACCAUUUAUUCUUGUUUCUUGAGUAUAUCUUAGCUCUUGAAAGAAAAAUUACAGCUGAUAGAAUUGAUACGUGCGAAGGAAGAGAAGAAAUAGAUAAGAGCAUACUCUGCUGCACAUGGGACAAAGGAAAGAUCUGCGCUGUUUCCCUUCCAGCACUUUCACCCAGCAGUUCCAAGAGAAGCAGAGGAACUGUAACAAUAAAGACAGUCCCAGAAUUCUGUAGGCUAUCACUCUGUCUUGUUGAAUCACCUGGGAUCAUUUCCC
Molecule: long non-coding RNA, 423 nt
Organism: Gallus gallus (chicken)
Lineage: Eukaryota; Metazoa; Chordata; Aves; Galliformes; Phasianidae
Source: Ensembl